This 160-nucleotide ribosomal RNA is filed under the name uncultured Lysobacter sp. RNAcentral's name for it is "partial 16S ribosomal RNA". It matches the Rfam family "Bacterial small subunit ribosomal RNA", at positions 355 to 507 of the family's 1533-position model. The record is from RNAcentral. Lineage: Bacteria; Pseudomonadati; Pseudomonadota; Gammaproteobacteria; Lysobacterales; Lysobacteraceae.
UGGGUAAUAUUGGACAAUGGGCGCAAGCCUGAUCCAGCCAUGCCGCGUGAGUGAAGAAGGCCCUCGGGUUGUAAAGCUCUUUUGUCCGGAAAGAAAAGCUUUGGGUUAAUACCCGGAAGUCCUGACGGUACCGGAAGAAUAACCACGGGCUAACUUCUUG